Molecule: ribosomal RNA, 463 nt
Filed under: uncultured bacterium
Lineage: Bacteria
Description: partial 16S ribosomal RNA
Rfam family: Bacterial small subunit ribosomal RNA
Source: RNAcentral
GACGAACGCUGGCGGCGUGCUUAACACAUGCAAGUCGAACGGAAAGGCCUUUUCGGCGGUACUCGAGUGGCGAACGGGUGAGUAACACGUGGGUGAUCUGCCCUGCACUCUGGGAUAAGCCUGGGAAACUGGGUCUAAUACCGGAUAGGACCGCACUUUAGUGUGUGUGGUGGAAAGUUUUUUCGGUGUAGGAUGAGCCCGCGGCCUAUCAGCUUGUUGGUGGGGUAAUGGCCUACCAAGGCGGCGACGGGUAGCCGGACUGAGAGGUUGGUCGGCCACAUUGGGACUGAGAUACGGCCCAGACUCCUACGGGAGGCAGCAGUGGGGAAUAUUGCACAAGGGGCGCAAGCCUGAUGCAGCGACGCCGCGGGGGGGAGGACGGCCUUCGGGUUGUAAACUCCUUUCGCCAGGGACGAAGCGUUUUGUGACGGUACCUGGAGAAGAAGCACCGGCUAACUACGUG